RNAcentral lists this ribosomal RNA (260 nucleotides) under uncultured bacterium. RNAcentral describes it as "partial 16S ribosomal RNA". It matches the Rfam family "Bacterial small subunit ribosomal RNA", at positions 92 to 353 of the family's 1533-position model. The record is from RNAcentral.
CGAGUGGCGGACGGGUGAGUAAUGUCUGGGAAACUGCCCGAUGGAGGGGGAUAACUACUGGAAACGGUAGCUAAUACCGCAUAACGUCGCAAGACCAAAGAGGGGGACCCUCGGGCCUCUUGCCAUCGGAUGUGCCCAGAUGGGAUUAGCUUGUUGGUGGGGUAACGGCUCACCAAGGCGACGAUCCCUAGCUGGUCUGAGAGGAUGACCAGCCACACUGGAACUGAGACACGGUCCAGACUCCUACGGGAGGCAGCAUG